RNAcentral lists this ribosomal RNA (253 nucleotides) under uncultured bacterium. RNAcentral describes it as "partial 16S ribosomal RNA". It matches the Rfam family "Bacterial small subunit ribosomal RNA", at positions 524 to 776 of the family's 1533-position model. The record is from RNAcentral.
UACGGAGGGAGCGAGCGUUGUUCGGAAUUACUGGGCGUAAAGCGUGCGCAGGCGGCUUUGCAAGUCGGGAGUGAAAUCCCAGGGCUUAACCCUGGAAUUGCUUUCGAAACUGCAAGGCUUGAGUAUCGGAGAGGUUAGCGGAAUUCCCAGUGUAGAGGUAAAAUUCGUAGAUAUUGGGAGGAACACCAGUGGCGUAAGCGGCUAACUAGACGAUAACUGACGCUCAGGCACGAAAGCGUGGGGAUCAAACAGG